Molecule: ribosomal RNA, 411 nt
Filed under: uncultured bacterium
Lineage: Bacteria
Description: bacterial SSU rRNA
Rfam family: Bacterial small subunit ribosomal RNA
Source: RNAcentral
ACUCUAGCGGCGGACGGGUGAGUAACACGUGGGUAACCUGCCUCAAAGAGGGGAUAGCCUCCGAAAGGAGAUUAAUACCGCAUAACAUUAUCUCUUCGCAUGAAGAGAUAAUCAAAGGAGUAAUCCGCUUUGAGAUGGACCCGCGGCGCAUUAGCUAGUUGGUGAGGUAAUGGCUCACCAAGGCAACGAUGCGUAGCCGACCUGAGAGGGUGAUCGGCCACAUUGGAACUGAGAUACGGUCCAGACUCCUACGGGAGGCAGCAGUGGGGAAUAUUGCGCAAUGGGGGAAACCCUGACGCCAGCAACGCCGCGUGGGUGAAGAAGGCCUUCGGGUUGUAAAGCUCUGUCUUCUGGGACGAUAAUGACGGUACCAGAGGAGGAAGCCACGGCUAACUACGUGCCAGCAGCCGC